RNAcentral lists this ribosomal RNA (253 nucleotides) under uncultured bacterium. Its description in RNAcentral is "partial 16S ribosomal RNA". It matches the Rfam family "Bacterial small subunit ribosomal RNA", at positions 524 to 776 of the family's 1533-position model. The record is from RNAcentral.
UACGUAGGGUGCAAGCGUUAAUCGGAAUUACUGGGCGUAAAGCGUGCGCAGGCGGUUUUGUAAGUCUGAUGUGAAAUCCCCGGGCUCAAACUGGGAAUUGCAUUGGAGACUGCAAGGCUAGAAUCUGGCAGAGGGGGGUAGAAUUCCACGUGUAGCAGUGAAAUGCGUAGAGAUGUGGAGGAACACCGAUGGCGAAGGCAGCCCCCUGGGUCAAGAUUGACGCUCAUGCACGAAAGCGUGGGGAGCAAACAGG